This is a long non-coding RNA of Parus major (Great Tit), 436 nucleotides long. RefSeq lists it as uncharacterized. The record is from RefSeq and is a predicted model, not a curated record. Lineage: Eukaryota; Metazoa; Chordata; Aves; Passeriformes; Paridae. The transcript is spliced from 4 exons.
UCUCCUGGUUCUUGGUAGCCCAACUGCAGCUUUGUGCGGCCUGGCUGUUCUCCUGUACCUCUGAGUGGCAGUGGUGGUCCUGCAGCCCAUGGCCCUGUCCUCGGGCCCAGCUGAGGCUUCUCGGGUCUGAGACAGGUGUUCUUCCCCACACUGUGGAACCAGGCAGCACUAACUAGAGGCCCCUCUUGAUGCUGGAGCUGUGAAACUGAAUACAGAUGAACAUAAACCAUCCUCCCCCAGCUCCACACAGCUCAACAAGCAGGAGUUCUGAACUUUGGGUGACCAACUUUGUCCUUUGUGGGCUUGCUGCAAUGCAGAAACAUCCAGUCCCAGCUGAAGACAGACAGAAGGCUCAUACUUGGACAACAAUACAUCAUUCACUAAUUGUUACUUUAGAGAAAAUGCUGAUUAUAUUGAACUAUCUUACAUACUAAAG